Molecule: ribosomal RNA, 253 nt
Filed under: uncultured bacterium
Lineage: Bacteria
Description: partial 16S ribosomal RNA
Rfam family: Bacterial small subunit ribosomal RNA
Source: RNAcentral
GACGAACUGUCCUAACGUUGUUCGGAAUCACUGGGCGUAAAGGGUGCGUAGGCGGGUCUUUAAGUCAGGGGGGAAAUCCUGGAGCUCAACUCCAGAACUGCCUUUGAUACUGAGGAUCUUGAGUUCGGGAGAGGUGAGUGGAACUGCGAGUGUAGAGGUGAAAUUCGUAGAUAUUCGCAAGAACACCAGUGGCGAAGGCGGCUCACUGGCCCGAUACUGACGCUGAGGCACGAAAGCGUGGGGAGCAAACAGG